UACGAAGGGGGCUAGCGUUGUUCGGAAUCACUGGGCGGAAAGGGCGCGUAGGCGGCCGAUCAAGUCGGGGGUGAAAGCCUGUGGCUCAACCACAGAAUUGCCUUCGAUACUGUUUGGCUUGAGACCGGAAGAGGUAAGUGGAACUGCGAGUGUAGAGGUGAAAUUCGUAGAUAUUCGCAAGAACACCAGUGGCGAAGGCGGCUUACUGGUCCGGUUCUGACGCUGAGGCGCGAAAGCGUGGGGAGCAAACAGG
RNAcentral lists this ribosomal RNA (253 nucleotides) under uncultured bacterium. RNAcentral's name for it is "partial 16S ribosomal RNA". It matches the Rfam family "Bacterial small subunit ribosomal RNA", at positions 524 to 776 of the family's 1533-position model. The record is from RNAcentral.